Oreochromis aureus is the source of this 427-nucleotide long non-coding RNA. The record is from Ensembl. NCBI's taxonomy places the organism in Eukaryota, Metazoa, Chordata, Actinopteri, Cichliformes, Cichlidae.
GUGAAGUUCUCUCAGUGACUUUGUGUCUGUCGUUCAGGAUGAAUGUCUUGCUGUCCAUCUGUCUCUGGCUGUCUCUGAUGAUGUUAGUCUGCUGUGGAAUCAUUGAAAAGGAGACUCACACCAUGAAGACAUGUAUGAAUUCAAAGCGAAUAACUACACCUUUUAUUAUAACUUCUCUUAUGAUUAUUACUACGAUGUCUAUGAGCCUGAGCUCAUGAACAAGACGUUACUUCAAAACUACAAGUAAAGCUGGCGUGUAAGCCCGUCACUUACUCGCCUCAGGGAUUGGUCAGCUGAUACCGAUGCUCCUGCUGGGAUUGGCUGUCCAUCAAAUCUGGAACUGAUUGUGGGUGGAGCCAAAGACAGAGGCUUUAUCUGCGAUGAAAGUUGUAAUAAAAAAGACAAAAUAAAAGACUUUAUUUCUGAA